GGGAGGUAAAUUUCUUCUAAAGGCUAAAUAUUGGCCAGAGACCGAUAGCGCACAAGUAGGAGUGAUCGAAAGAUGAAAAGCACUUUGGAAAGAGAGUCAAAAAGCACGUGAAAUUGUUGAAAGGGAAGCGCUUGCAAUCAGACUUGCCUGUAGUUGCUCAUCUGGACUCUUGUCCGGUGCACUCUUCUGCGGGCAGGCCAGCAUCAGUUCAGGCGGCUGGAUAAAGGCCUCUAUCACGUAUCUUCCUUCGGGAUGACCUUAUAGGGGAGGUGUAAUGCAGCCAGCCUGGAUUGAGGUCCGCGCAUCUGCUAGGAUGCUGGCGUAAUGAUUGUAAGCGGCCCGUCUUGAAACACGGGAC
RNAcentral lists this small RNA (358 nucleotides) under Nigrograna mackinnonii. RNAcentral's name for it is "eukaryotic LSU rRNA". It matches the Rfam family "Eukaryotic large subunit ribosomal RNA", at positions 294 to 664 of the family's 3401-position model. Lineage: Eukaryota; Fungi; Ascomycota; Dothideomycetes; Pleosporales; Nigrogranaceae. The record is from RNAcentral.